CUAAAAACCCAAAUUUUUUACUUUUAAGACCUCAAAUCAGGUGGGACUACCCGCUGAACUUAAGCAUAUC
Molecule: ribosomal RNA, 70 nt
Filed under: Puccinia recondita
Lineage: Eukaryota; Fungi; Basidiomycota; Pucciniomycetes; Pucciniales; Pucciniaceae
Description: partial 28S ribosomal RNA
Source: RNAcentral